This 259-nucleotide transfer-messenger RNA is filed under the name Butyrivibrio sp. RNAcentral describes it as "partial transfer-messenger RNA". It matches the Rfam family "transfer-messenger RNA", at positions 95 to 374 of the family's 374-position model. From Rfam's summary of the family: Bacterial tmRNA, also known as 10Sa RNA or SsrA, is named for its dual tRNA and mRNA-like properties. The record is from RNAcentral. Lineage: Bacteria; Bacillati; Bacillota; Clostridia; Lachnospirales; Lachnospiraceae.
AAACGCUGAAGAUAAUUUAGCAUACGCUGCCUAAUGGCAGCAGUCUGACCUAGAGCACUCACACUUUAGGACCCAGGCUUCGACUAUGUGAGAAACGACGCAGGCAAAGCUUUGAGCCUGCGGGCGUACGAUGAAGCUACUGAAACCGGAACUGUGCCUACGCAGGUCUGGCAGAGGGAAUGUUAAAACAUAGGAUACGCUCGUAGAAGGACAGGGGAUUGGUUUUUGGACACGGGUUCGACUCCCGUCAGGUCCACUC